AGCGGGAUGGAGCAGUGGUAGCUCGUCGCCUUCAUACGGCGAAGGUCGCCAGUUCAAAUCUGGCUCCCGCAA
Molecule: transfer RNA, 72 nt
Filed under: Candidatus Bathyarchaeota archaeon
Lineage: Archaea; Thermoproteati; Candidatus Bathyarchaeota
Also listed under: 3 other names
Description: tRNA-Met
Rfam family: tRNA
About the family: Transfer RNA (tRNA) molecules are approximately 80 nucleotides in length. Their secondary structure includes four short double-helical elements and three loops (D, anti-codon, and T loops).
Source: RNAcentral